UAUCGUUAGGGUUUCAAGGUUAUCGUCGAUUCCGUUUUUAGGUUAUUGUCGCGCGGACCAGUCUCAAAAAUUAUUAACGACGGAGGUUGUCCAAAUUACUGGAGAUGAUACCCAUAAGAGCAAUCUUCCAAUUUCAAAGUCGAGGGAACUCCAUAAGAGAUUGCAGGGAUGUGUUGUGUGUUAGGACUGACUUAUAUUUCCACCAUUAUGUUUCAAAACACGGCAGAACUCCUUAAGAGAUUUCAGGAGUUGAGGGUUAAAGGGGUCGUUGAAAGUACAGCAAUACGUUGAUUGAAGCUCUGAGAAAGAAUGCAUGGGGAGCGUGCUUGCUGGGAAUAUGGACAGACAUUAAGAAUCUAUAAUGGGCAGCGGUGACAUUUGGGUGGAUACAAGUAAAAACAUCGUGCCCUUAGAAAAGGACCAACGCACAAAUUUCCUGCAAACAAAAUAUUCUAUAAAGAGAAGCCAGUUGAACAACUUGCUUUAUAUGAGUGAGAGAGGGAAGUUAUAAUUAUUGGCGGCAUGGACCGGGAGCAUGUUUGCUGUACUGGGGUUACCAAUAAGGAUCUCCAUACGUAUUUGCUAAAAAACAUGCUAUUAUGGGAAAUCAGUUGGAUAACCUUUUUAGGUUGAUGGCGUGUGUUCGUCUUUCUUUGUGAGAUGGCAAUUACACUUUAUAAUCAUUAGAUGUUUUUGAAAAAGUAUCACUGAAGCCUUUUAUUUACCUGAGAAUUAAUUGUGUAAUACAGUUAUUUCCAUGGCAAGAGUUUAAUCUGCUAGGGAGUAUGCUUUGUAUAAAUACAAAAGGAUCACAGCGUAUCUUUUGGGCCUUUGACUUUUGGGUAGCUAGAAAUAAAAUGGAAACGUCAUAUAUCUUCAAAGGAUGUCCAUUUAUAUUUUCUUUAAACAGAUAUAUAAUAUAUAUAUCAAUAAAUGAGCUCACUUCUAUUUUUCAUUGUUA
Cryptomeria japonica (Japanese cedar) is the source of this 961-nucleotide long non-coding RNA. RefSeq lists it as uncharacterized. The transcript has 2 exons. The record is from RefSeq and is a predicted model, not a curated record. Lineage: Eukaryota; Viridiplantae; Streptophyta; Pinopsida; Cupressales; Cupressaceae.